AAAACACCAUCUCUUGAUCUUGAGGAGCUGCAGUCAGAUUGAGAAGAAGCAUGGACAGUGGGGGAAAUAACCGAGAUCAUGAUUGUGAAAGAGCCAACCACGCCAACUGAUCCUCCACACCUGGCCUGGUUUGGGCAAAGGCAGCACACAUGGGCAUCUCCUCUCACCAGCUGUACCUUCUCGCUGCUUCCCCUGUAAGCCUUUUCCUGAAGUUUAUUGGUGAUCCCAAGCCUCCAGCCUGGAAGGGCUACCUCCUCGCUGUGCUGAUGUUCCUCUCGGCCUGACUGCAAACGCUGUUUGAGCAGCAGAACGUGUACCAGCUCAAGGUGCUGCAGAUGAGGCUGCGGUCGGCCAUCACUGGCCUGGUGUACAGAAAGCUCCUGGACCCCUCUGCCCUCACUGCCAUCGCUGUCUUCCUGAGCCUCCUGCCUCUGAAUUUCUUCACCAAGAAGAGGAAUCACCGUCAGCACUGCUGGAGAGGAAGAAGGAAGAUGGACAGUGGGUGGCCGCCCUGGGUGCCGAGCUCUUCAUGCCAGGGCUGGCGGGGCUGCAUGCCCUUGGCCUGCUGCAGCAGUGAGCCCAGCUCUGGACCAACUCCCUGAGGAUGCAGUACAGCCUCCUGGGUAAGGCACUGCGUGCCUGGUGGCGGGGCAGGUGGAGGUGGCAGGGUCUGCCCUGUUUCCUGCAGCUGUGGCUCUGCAAGGUUCAGCUCUGGCACGAGGAGGACUCGGGCCACCUGCACUCACAGCUGGAGGUGAACUACAGGAAGCACUGGGAUGAGAGCAGCAACAACAGGCAUCUCCGUGUCAGCCAGACCUUCAAGAAUGACUCGGAGCCCACCCUGAGCAAUCACUUGGUGGAGGUCUUCGUGGACAUUCACAAUGACAGCUCAGGCUCUGAGCAUUCUGGACACAACCUGAUGGGACCCACAUCUCUCAGUUACUCUGUGAGCUGCUGUUACCAUGACGAGCACCUGGAGCUCUCCGGCCAGAGCUGGCACAACAGUGAGGUUUUGUUGUGGGCAGGGUUCCCAGGCGAGGCCUCCCUGCGCACAGAACUGCAGAUACAUGGUAAGGCACCCAGCGCAGAGCCCCAGGGCUGGUGCUGGCUUCCUCCAUGCCUGGGCCAGCCUAGCAGCCCUGGACCCAGGUGGCACCCCAUCAAGCCCAGUGUGGCCCUGGGCUCUGGGACAACUGGGACAGCCUUGUCCAUCGAUGGCCUCACUCCCAAGGCAGGCGGAUUCAUUUCCUAGGACUUCCACAACCAAGUUCCACACACUGGAUGGCUUAAAACACAGACAUCGUAGCCAGAUGUGGUGGCAUGUAUAUGUGGUCCCAGGUACUCAGGAGGCUGAAGCAGGAAAAUCACUUGAGCCAGAAGGUCGAGGCUGCAGUGAGCUAUGAUUGCAACACUGUGCUCCAGCCUGGAUGACAGAAUGAGACCCUGUCUCAAAAUAAAAACAACAUAAUCCACAGUGGACUGAGGGCCCAUCUGGCUUGAAUAUGAC
This 1507-nucleotide long non-coding RNA is filed under the name Aotus nancymaae (Ma's night monkey). Its description in RNAcentral is "lncRNA (ENSANAG00000039557.1)". Lineage: Eukaryota; Metazoa; Chordata; Mammalia; Primates; Aotidae. The record is from RNAcentral.